This 8459-nucleotide long non-coding RNA is filed under the name Pelobates cultripes (western spadefoot toad). The record is from RNAcentral. Lineage: Eukaryota; Metazoa; Chordata; Amphibia; Anura; Pelobatidae.
AUUUUAUUUAUUUUUAUUAUACCAGUUAAGAGGCGUGAAAAAUUGCCUUCAAAAUUUGUUUUUGUUCGAUUUUACACACAUAUAAACAACAUGAAAGUCAGAGAUAAUUUUGAUCUCUUAGUCUUUUUUUUUUCUUUAAACAUUUGACUUAAAAAAAACACCCUGUUUCAUAAUGUAAAACGCCUGUGAAUUACUUUCAAUUAAUAUAUAUAUCUACAUAUAUACGUUAUUUUCAUUUAAAGUUUCUUGUCCCUUUAAAACUUUUAUUUGUAAACAGCAGAGGAGGAAUUAUAGUAAACAUUUUUUUUUGUAGUUUUCUUGUUCGUGAACACAUUUGGAAAAAAAUAAAACCCUAAAAAAUUAACACAUUAGGAAAAAAAGGUUAUCACAGUUCUGGCUUUCUGUACACUAAAAUUAGCUGCUCCUAAUUCUCUCCUGGGAAAUGAUGUAACUUCCUGUAUGAAUGAUUACCACUUCCUGAUUUCCAAAUACCUGCUUGGAAAUAUGAUAUAACUCUGUUGCCUUUAACAGCUUCCCCAUUGUCAUUCAUUAGAAGUUAAGUUAAAAGUGCAGUUUCUCCAAUACAAUACACACAUGCCUUAUACAGCAUGUUAUGCUUUACCCCCUCUAUAGUUUUUCUUCCUUAAGUUCACAUACAUUUUACACAGUGUUGAAAAACUAGAAAAAAAUAAUAUAGGUCAUUCAUUUGGAGAAACAGUACCUCUAUGUUAACUAUUUGGUUUCAAUGUAAAUGAUCUGCCGUUUUUUGUAAAUAUGAUGAAGAGCUUACGAGAAACCCUCUAACGUGUGACUUAAUGUGAGCCAUGCUGAAUUUAUUUUUUGCCAAUAAAUUAUUUGAACAUUCCUUUUCUUUAAAGCCUCACUUAAUACUGAAAUAUUUCAAUGUACAUAUUUUUCGUCAUCUGUAGAUAUUGAGAUUUAGUUGAUAAUGUUGUGCAAUUUCAGAAACAAAAAAAAGUCUUCUCCCAGGAAUGGCCAAUUUCAUAUCUUUUUUUUUUUUACAUCUAUGAUUCUGAAAAAACACAAUGCAAGUGUAGGCAAGUCUUGAGAAUAUACAACAUUAGUUUUGAUGCUCAUUUACUUAAGCAGUAGUCUCCCCUCCAGGGGGAGUUCCACUAAUAUUCUAGUGGGGGACAAUCUUGAACAUCUUGAAAUAAUUAUUGUAUUCCAUUCACUAGUAGACAAUGUUCUGUCUAACCACCAUAUUUAAUAUAGUGAGAUCUAGAUCUAAAAAAAAAAGACUAUUUCUCUGCCAUUGGUAUUAUUAUUUACCAUGCAUUUAGGAGUAGGUAUAUAUUUUAGAUGAUAAAAUCCCUCACAUGAGGUGUUACAACAGACCGGGCUUGGAAUUUAUCUUCAUUACACUUUGCAAUUUGACUAUGCUCAGCUAUCGAGCAUGUAAAAAUACUGACAUUGGUUACAUUUAUGGGUGGCUUAGCCUUUACCAUUUAUACUAGGUCAUGAGAUGUUGGACCAGUAAUCCCAAAACAGUGCUAGUCUCAGACAGAUGCAUCUUGUUUUAGUUGGCGUUUCUACUCUUAUGGCUAAAAUAUACUUGAAAUAUUAUUGAGAAAACAGCUACAAUGCUGUGAACCUCUAAAAUAUAUGCAGCUAUGAAACUUGUUAUUGCCCGAUCAAUGGAACUUAAGGUAUAAUGCAACUUCAAGUUUACAAUAGCUCUUUUUGUAGGGAAGCAUUGUGGUUACAUCUGGUUUAGCAAGUCUAGUCGGUGACAUCAUUCAUUUGGUGCAAGGUAGGGAAAUUUUAAAAUAUAAUAAAAGGUGAAUUCAAUAUUUUCCUUGUCUGGGUAGACAAUAAAUAAUUGGCAGAAGGAAAUUAAUUUCUGAUGUUAAUUACACUUCAAACAUUUUAGCCUGUACAAUAAUUCCAACCUUGAGAAUCAUUCCACUAGGGGGCUCUGCGUCCUAUCAUUAUUGUUUGGCACUGAAUUACCUUCUGUCUGAUCUUAUUUAAAUCAGACCAAUCAGUGUGUUUCUAACACAUAUUCAUUCCUAACCAGAGCUUCCCCUGAUGCUGAGUCCAGAAAGCACAUUGUGAUUUCUAACAAAUUCAUAUAUGAUAGCAGCGUUUACAGAGAGAAAGCAUGUCAGCCAGGAAAGCAGCUGAUUGUGAAGGGAAAAAAUAAAUAAAUGAGUAGAUAGAACAUCAACCACACAAGAAAAAAGCUACUCAAGAAAUGAAGUGUCCUAUACAUCAACGGCACAAAUUAAUACAGCCGAAAAUUGGAAAACCACCAAGAAUAGAAAUGACACGCUUGAAAUUACAAAGGAGGCUGACUGUAUCUAUAUCUGUAUCCCUGAAAGAUCUAUUUUCCUCCAACCUUAGUUUGGCCUACAGACCCCUGGGGAACUAAAAACGUGAAACUGCCACAUCAGUGUGAAUUUUUUUUUUUUUUAUAGAUUUGUUUUUGCAGGUGGACUCUGUUUUCCUGACGCUCAGCGACAUAUGUAUCAAAAGGAGAUAAUUUGGCAAAAUAGAAUUAACCUUCAUAAGAUUCUAAUUCAUUGUUAGUUCUGUACCAGAUUAACUUUCCUAUCUAACAAGACAUUUUUGGAUCUCAUGGUGUAACCACCAACAAAGAUCACUGAGCAAUACAAAAAAAAACAUUAGGGAACUUACAUCUGUCUUGUGAAAAGUAGAUAUAUUUAAUUUAUGCAUCCUAGCAAUCACAAUAUUGCACAUAUUCAAUAUGUCAAAUUGAUGGCUAGUAAUUUAUGAUUUGAUAUUUACCACAUUCACCUUAUAAAUUUGCUCAAUCAUUAGGGAUGCUUGUAGAUUGUGGUUCGUAGAUAGAAUUGUUAAUGUAAAAUUAUAAAGGUUUCCUUUUGCAUUGUUAUGAACACAUUUUUCUUUCAAAAGCUAUUUGUUCAAUUUGAAAACAUUUUUUACCAAGCACUAUUUUUUAAAUGUGUUUCAGAGAUUUAAGAUCUAAAUGUAAUGUUUAAAAAGUCCAUCAGACACUAACGGUGUAUAAUGUUUAUGAACUAGUUAACAAAGAUAUUUUUGUGCUGUUAAUACAUACCUGAGAUGUGUUAACAAAUGGCCUAUUAAAGCAACAAUUUCACUUAGAGUUUUUCAUAAAGAUAGAAUCUUCCAGAAAAAAACAUUCAGAAUGCAUUGUGAUUUAAUUGAAAUCCCAUAGCACAUAGAAAAUAUAUAUGAGACCAAUAACUUUAUGACAAGUGUUAAUUUUUGACACAAUGUGGCAUUGGGAGUGACAGCUAAAUGGGAACAAAAUGAAAGAGGUCCGGGCACUCCUUGGUUCAAGACAGGUGCUUUAUUGGAACCACAGCAGCAACGUUUCAACCCAAGGGUCUUUAUCAAGCUUGAUAAGGAUCCUUGGGUCGAAACGUUGCUGCUGUGGUUCCAAUAAAGUGCCUGUCUUGAACCAAGGAGUGCCUGGACCGCUUUCGUUUUACUCUACUAUAUUGGGAUGUGGUGUUUGACCCUGGUACAGCAAGCACCCUGGCUCGGAUUGAUGGGAGUGAGUGCAGUUCCACACAUAUUACAAAAAGCUAAAUGGGAACAGGAAUCUUCUACAAUGUGCAGUAGAUGCCUACAGCAUCCUAUUAAAUUCACAUGAGAUUAUCUAUAACUGAACUUGUGGUCUUGUGGGAUAAUCCAUAGUGUUUUGCACUCUUGCUAUGUGUGAGAGUACACCACUGAUGCAACUACCACAAGUUACCAUAAGUUAAAGACAGAAUCAACGAGGAAGAUCAAAGAGCUUCACUCAUUCUUUAAGGUGAAUAUAUCCACCUUUUCAAUUAAUCCUGGCUGCUACCUUGAAAACAGACAUGUCAACUUUUUUUUGGGGGGGAGUGAGGGGUCUAUAUUUUCAUUUUCCCUCUGAUAUUUAGAAAGAGAACCAUCAAGAUGUAAUUUACUCUUUUUAUAGGGAAAAAAGUGACUCUACUACACAUCCAUAGUGUUUGGUGUACAUUUAUUGUUGUUGUUUAUCUUUCUGUUGUGUAGUAUUGAACAUUAUGGUAUAUCCUCCACCUAUUUUGAAUAGCAGUUUAUUUCUGUCUCAGACGUCUAUUCACUUAAUUUUAUUGUUAGGGUUAACUGAGAAUCCACUUUUAAAAUUUAGAGUAUAAAAAAAUUUAAAAUUGGAAAAAUAUUCCAACUUGGCUAAUGUGUGGAGUUAUACUUUACAUUGUGUCUAAAUUGUGUAACAACAACAACUCACUGAUAGUUCAUUGUCGACUCAUUACAGCCCAAUGUCAAUGACCCAUCACAUCCAAAUUGUCCUGCUGGAAUUGCUAGUUUGUUUGUCCACCCAUUGAACUACACUGCGGAAUAUGUUGGUGAUUAAUAAAUAAUAAUAAUUAUGUUGAAAUGUUUUCAAAGGCUGCCAAUUGAUAUUAUUAGGCAGGUUGAGACAGACGACUGACACUGCAAUUAUAUUGUGGCUGCUGUAAUUAUCCUCUGGAUACAUGAUUACAUAUAGAUACAUGCAGAGAAUGAGUAAUUGCACAUCCCACUCUUCAUUAAAAUUUGCAGUAAAAGGUUGUUUAUGACAAUGAACUGUUUGAAUUAUAGCAAUGACUUUGUCUCCCCUCUAAUAUUUGAAAUUAAUAAUAUAACACUCAAAUAGAUGUUAGUGAUGUAAUUGUAACCCACUGACAGAAGAAUAUGUUUUGUUUGUAUAUAAUCAGCAGUAAAGGUAAUAAUAAAUUAACUAUUUGGGUUAAUUUCUCUAUUAGUAGAUACUUAUGGCAUAGAGGAAUCACUAACGUCCAUUGGUUUAGGGCACCUCAAAAAGGUCGCUUUUCAUUAUCUACAAGUGGAAACGAGAUACAUCUAGUCUUUUUCCUGUGCCUCACACGUCCAGCUACAGCGUGCAUGGGCGGUGUUUAAUAAACAUUACAUCAUUGGAAUACUGCCAUAAUAAUUUCAUGGCUAACAUACAAAAUGACAACCAAAUGUUUUGUGAUUUGUUCUUAUGGACAAAUAAUAGUGUGAUGGGUGUGCUAAAGUUUGCUAAAGCAUAACAUUUAUACUUUUAUAUUUAUGUAUUAUAUUAUAGAGUGGUGUUCGCACAAUGUUUGUUAUAUAUUUGUAUGAUCUGCUUUCUAAAGCAAACUCAUGUUCUGAAUGAUUUUUCUGGAUUUGCUGCAUUUUUUAAAAGAAAACUUUGUGGUUCCACAGAUUUACAAAUUUUCUUUCCCACAUAUUUACUGGCAUCAAGAUAGUCAUAAUUUCCUCCAGGAUACCACUGGCUAUCCCAUCAAAGUGAAUGAUGUGCAUUUAAUUUGACUGUCCCUUUAAAUGCACACACAAACGACUGAGCAAACUGCAUCUGUUGCCUAAUUACUGAGCAAAAUCUUUCUAUAAAUAAUCAUGAAAUUUUAAAAAUGCAGGUGAUCAGAAAACACAAUAUAAAAUAUUAUAUUCCAUAAAAUGGAAUGCAUGUACUCCUAAAAUGUACUUGAAAAAUAAUGAUGUAUAUGUGUAGGAUUGCCAUCAACAUUGGAAAACACUCUCAUGUUCUCUUUUACUCCAUUGAUUUUAUACAGUGAGAUCCACCAAAUCCACCUGGUCAGUAAAAUAAUAUUGGUAGGGUUAUGUUGUCCUAUUUAUCAUACCUUAGUAUAUUUCUAGUAUUUUGUUUUCUGCGGACAAAGUGUUGAGAGAUCUUAAAGGAUUUACUAGUUGGGGUUCAGAGCUGACAUUAACAAAGGUAGGUACACAUAGAUAGAGACACAUAGCAGCUCCUAAUGAUUGUUUCCACAAAACAAUCUAAAAUCCAUGCAAAAAAGACAUGCAAAUAGGACAGUCACCUAUUUAUGGACCUUGACCAGUAACAGAUACGAAAUCUAAGUUUACAAGGCUGUCUGUGUUCAUUUGCAUAUCUGGAUGGCAUUUUGGGUGUUUUGUGAAAUGGUCAUAAAGAACUGCUAUGCUCAGGGCAUGCAUUUUAUUUACAUUAUGCUGUAUGGGGAUUACAUUUUAGUAUAUUUUAGAAUUCACAUCAAUCAGUAGGGGUUUCUUUUUACAUUUAUGUAGCUGUUCCUGUCACUACAACUGUAUUAAUUAAUUAUACCACAAAAAGUGCCAACAUAAGAAACAUCUGUGUAAAGCCAAAUCUUAACCUGUGCUGUACUAGAAAUUAUGUUUAGAAUAGCAAUAAAUUGCCAAGGGAACUACCAGAAACAAAGGCAGCAAAUCUAAAAUAUUUGCAAGGCUGUGUGUAUCCAUAUGCAUAUUUGUAGGCUUCCUAGUUUUAUAUGAAGGUAUAAUUUAUAUAUGGCACUACAAUUGGUACUACAUUCACUAGAGGGAAGAAAAACCAGAACAUGCUGUGAUUAUUGGGUUGGGUUAGGAGACGAUUAAAGGUAAUCUGUAAUUAUCUGGAUUUAGUUGAAUGUAUUGCCUUAGUCUCGCAAGAGAGAAACAGCAAAUGCAAUUAUAAAUACUAUGUUUCAUACAGCAAUUCUAGCACUUGGGAGAAAUUAUACAAAUUAACUGCAAUACAAUUGAAUAUAAGCUUUGAUACAUAUGCCUCAAAGUGUAAUUCAACCAUGGUUUAAAGCAGGACUCAAAAUUUCCACCCACUCACUAGCCAUUGGCAAGUAUAAAAUAAGCACUGAUGAGUAGAAAUGUACCCCUGGUGAGUUUGUCAUGAACCUUAUAGACUUGCAGUGGCAAGUAACUUGUAAGCCUGUCUAGUAGAAUAUUUCUUAACAUUUUGAGCCCUGUCUGAAGCAUGGUUUUCUCAAAACAUUAUUCUCCAUGUUCAGUUCUAUCAAGCAGUCAGCUGUGGAACUGACCAGCUGGUAAAUGGUUAAAUUGUGCUCUGUUGUUCAUUUAACACCACCUAAAAAAUUGGCACAAAGAUGAUGGCAGUUGCACGUAAUGGUUGGAUGGCUUCAUAGACCUGUAGGCUAUAAAAUAAGGGUAUCAGUCAAUCUGAGUCUCUAUUUCUAAGGUGGCUUCAGUAUUUUGGCACAUUUAGUUGGAGCCUGAUAUCAGAUGACUCAAGGAAUUGGCACAAAGAAGAGCAUCACACCUCCAUGACUGAGCUCUGUCAAUUGGCACAUGAAGAAAAAGAAAAUAAUAAUAAAAAGAACCGGAGCCAGGGAUCUUAUAUAAGCACGAUCCAAUGGCUCUGGGUAAAUGGCACAGGGAUACAGAGCCUUGAAACCUCUAGGAAUGGGUGUCUUGGGGCAGGACACAACCUUCUCCCUCUGUGUCACAACAAAUUCAUUGAAAAGUCUAUUUAAAAAAAAAAAUCUCGACCACCUAUUUACAAUACUAAAUAAAUUAACAGUGGGCGGUGUGGACCCGUCCCGUGUUUCUGAUGACUGAAGCGGCACCCUGAUUUCUCUCCCCUCACAUUUAACGUGAUGGAAGGACUAAUUGGAGGCUAGGUUGACGCUUCCCAUUUUCUCCUACUAUAACCAUGUGUCACCUAGAAGUGAAGAUUAAUGCCCAAAUGGUCUUGUUUUGUGCUAGGAUGCUGCCCUCAAACAUUUGCUUUCACCACACUCAACCACAAAAUGUAUUCCGUCCACAUACAAAGCAUUCUUUCCGGUGUCCAUCCAAUGAUUUUGUAAAAUAUUAUGCUCAUUUAUGCAAAAUCCAAAUACCUAUGUGAACAAUAUAUUACACGUUUCAUCUGCAUAACUAAAGUGUACAUCAUAUGAAUAUUAGCCCUCCGAGUGCCAGUGACAUCUUUACAAUUUCAUCAGUAUUGUUGGUACCAUCAUUUUUUAUUUCUUUCAUUCAGUUUAAACUUGAAUAUUGCUUACUUUCAAAUGUUUUAUUCUACAAUUGACCAAACACUGCAUAUGUGUAAUUCUAGAUGUCUUGUUGGACAGCUCAUGAAAAAAAAAUGGUGAUGGUAACAUGGUACACUUUAGGCUUCCUUAUCUUUUAUCUCAAUUAUUACUGAGCUGAUCUUUAAAGCAAAAGCAUAUUUAGUGAGAUGUGAUGGUGUGGUUAAAAAGAGCUUGCGUAAAAAAGCUUCAGGCUGAAGAUGGCUAAAGAUUGUUCCUUCAUUAUGAAGGAAAGCAAUAACUACUUAACCCAGAUUGGUACUAUCUGAAUACAGAAAGUGCCAUGCUAGGAAGCCCUUGGAUCUAGAAUUGAUUCUUCAAACUCAUUGUCUUGAUGUCCAUAUAAAUACAUUUCUCAAAAUGAUUAUUUUAAAUAAAAACACCUUUGGCUGUGUAUAGCGUGCAAUAAGUACAAGAGCAGAAUGAAAAAUAACCGCACAGCCAAAAAAUAUAAAAACUAUUUCUAAAAAGAAGUGAUUCUAACACUAUACUUCUCCAAAUUUAUUAUGGACUGAAAAAUUUGACGAAAUUAAUAUUUACCUUGGACAAUAUUAUGUUGGUGUUCCUGAGCUAUCAUCACAAUUUAUUUCUUAAUGUACAUAAUAGUGAUUUUCUUUUGUUUUAAGCCAGAUUAGC